ACUCUUCUCUCAUACAGCACCCUGAAUGAUAGAAAGAAACAACCAAAGUUCUCGUGUUUGAACAAGUUUUGUUUUGAGCUAUAUCAUGGCUGCUUGUGAAGUAUUAUUUUGCGUGUUUUAUUUAAUUCAGUGAUCUGCAGCCUAAUUAAAGUUUAAAUUUUUGGAGCACGCAUUUUUAAAUAAGUAAAACGUAAAAUAAAAGUUUUCUAAAGCCAAAAUAUGGAAUUGAAGAGGGUGAUACAGAAAUACUUCAUUGCACUGUCAAUUCGAAGCACGCAAUAGAAGCUACGCCAACAAUGGUCAACAUCAAUGGCGAAACCAUUUAAUACAUAUGUCAAACCUCAUAUGGCGCGUUAAAGGUACGCAAACUUAUUGGUGUCACUUAUUGUAGCAGCGUAGAACUUUCGAAGCGAUGGAAUAUGUGCUGCAAGCAAAUCCAAAACUAUGGACGCAAACGCUGCUACAUGGAACACAAAUCAUUCACACACCAGAUAUUACGUUUAAUGUCACUUUUUUGCGUGCAAUUAAACGUUUUGGUCAACACAAGCACGAGAAUUGGAACGACAUGGCGUGUGUCAACUGGGUUUUGCCAAUGAGCUAGAGGGCAAAGCAGUUUCAGUAUCUUUAAGCUUACCGGCACUUGGCCGUGCCAUUAGCAGCUAAAACACAGAAAUUAAAGGGAGGACUUUUUUGAUUCAUUUUCAUCUUGUAUUGAGGAACCAUAACGUUGUUGUAUCGCUUUACAAGGACAUAAAUUCACCGAAAUUAGUUCAAUGGAAAUACUACAGCAAGAGCAUGGUGUUAAGACUUGAACGGUGCCGUGUUAGAUUUAGAAUUCCUGAAACAUAAGGUAAUUAUUACCAACUUUAUAAAAAUUCUAAUACUUUAUAUUUUAUAGAAACCCUCCUCCCAGAUGAAUCUAGUACUAGUGAAAUUAAUGAAAGAACAGAUCUUAUAAAAACUCCGAAAGAAACCAAAAGAGUCCUCACAUAAUGUGCGCAGCUUACACUUCCAGACCGCACGGGGUAUUUGACAUUUUUCACUCUUCCUCCAGCCUUUGUCGGAUAGCAAAAAUUGUUCAAAUAUUCAUUUUCACCUACUUUAUACAUAUGUAUAUAGUGUAGUACGAUAAUAUAUGUAUAAAGUAAAUAUAAUAAUAAACAACUAAAUGACAUGAUAUUUUAAAUAAAUAUGUAAU
Molecule: long non-coding RNA, 1198 nt
Organism: Zeugodacus cucurbitae (melon fly)
Lineage: Eukaryota; Metazoa; Arthropoda; Insecta; Diptera; Tephritidae
Exons: 3
Source: RefSeq, a predicted model, not a curated record